This 938-nucleotide long non-coding RNA is filed under the name Homo sapiens (human). RNAcentral's name for it is "HSALNT0318259". Lineage: Eukaryota; Metazoa; Chordata; Mammalia; Primates; Hominidae. The record is from RNAcentral.
CAUACUGGAGAUGCUAGGUGUUGGUGCUCAAGUCAGCAGUCUUAGCUGAACCCAGACUUUGAGCCAAGCCCAUCAGAACAUGAGCCAUAUCACAGAUGAAGAAAUGGCAAUAACAACUCUUUAUUUUUAGCUUGUGAUGAUGUGAGUGCUGAGCCAUCAUUCUCAUUCAAGUCUCUUGUGAUUGAAAAAGACUAAAAGGCACCUAUAGGCACCAUGAACCAUCUGAAAGCCAUACACGUGGAUGGGAAUUCGAUGUGUACUCUGUUAUGUUGGAGGACAGAAUAGAUCUGUUGGGUGAGAGUUAUUAGGAGUUUCAGUUUUACUAAAUGUAAGGACAAACUUGAUAACAAUCAGGGCAUCAAACAAUGGAUGUGCUGCUCUAGCAUCUUAAGUUGGUUUCCAAGAAGCAGCUCCUGAUUUGAUGAAGUACAUGUAAGUGGAGAAUGGAGAAACAGAAAGUAAAAUGAAGACAGAAAGAGACCAAGGAAAUCCGUCAUAUCAAGUAUGCAAUAUCAACCUUUGGAGGGUGACUUGGGCUCCAUCCCAGAAGGGAGCCUUGGAAACAGUGAAAACAGUGAUAGUCACUCUCAGAGUUUCUGAAUCAGAGCAAGAGGACUGGGGUAUUUAUACUCCUGCCCUCAUCACUGGUUAAGUCAUGAGGAGGAGUUGGUAUACAUUCACAGAUACUUCUGGUUCUAUGCGUUGUUAUGUAUGCAGGUAAUGAGGGUCCUGGUAGUCUGAGGGCAGCCCUCUAAUUGCUACUGUUGGGAGCAGAGGCACACCAGAAGCUGGUAGACAGAAAAAAAGUAGUGAAAGUGGUUUGCACGAAUAUCCUUGCAGCUCUGAAAUCACCAGCUCUGCUUUGUCUGUUGUUAUAUUUCAUUUCUGGAGAGAUCCAGGCAGAAGCUGCCAACUUCAACACCUAUUUUGACACUGAG